GAUGCUAAUACCGGAUAACAACAGAUGAUGCCUAUCAACUGUUUAAAAGAUGGUUCUGCUAUCACUCUUGGAUGGACCUGCGGUGCAUUAGCUAGUUGGUAGGGUAACGGCCUACCAAGGCGAUGAUGCAUAGCCGAGUUGAGAGACUGAUCGGCCACAUUGGGACUGAGACACGGCCCAAACUCCUACGGGAGGCAGCAGA
This 202-nucleotide ribosomal RNA is filed under the name uncultured Lactobacillus sp. RNAcentral's name for it is "partial 16S ribosomal RNA". It matches the Rfam family "Bacterial small subunit ribosomal RNA", at positions 159 to 354 of the family's 1533-position model. Lineage: Bacteria; Bacillati; Bacillota; Bacilli; Lactobacillales; Lactobacillaceae. The record is from RNAcentral.